CACAUACUGAGUACAAUGGAGAAAUCGCCCCCGAAAAACACCAACUUCAUGGCCGUAUUUUCUCCUGUUACGUGGCCACAGAGUGCAUGUGCUAUGAGGGACCCGUCCGACAUAUACCCUCCCAGAAGAGCAGGAAAGGGGGUUCAUAAAGAUGUUCUUCUGAUGGGGAGUGUCCUAUAAGGCCACCUUCACAUGGGAGGAUCGCAGCGCAUUUCGGCCAAGACAGGUGAGACUGCGGUUCUGACCUGCGGGCCUCGAUGAAUUGCGUUAGGACACCUGGGCUCCGGGAGAGCCGUUCCACUCCGCAAAGUAAGCGUGUUAUGUCUACAACCCAACGGGGACGCGCUAAGAGCCCCAAAGGCCCUGCUUUCAUCCCAAAGAACAGCCCCCGCCUGCGUAGUUUGUACCCGGCUCUAUGAGGUGAGAACACAUUCCCCGAUAGCACAGAAAUCCUACAAACUCCUGAGGGGGCUGCGGCUAGAAGCAGACGCUGUGUGAAAUGUGACUGGAGGUUAGGGAAAAACACGUAGAUUUUCACAGACCCUGAGAACCCAAGAGACUGCAGACCAUGGACAGACAAAUCUCUGCAAAAAGCAGCCCCGCGUAGAUAAAGGAAGAGCUGUGCGGCCUUCGCGCUAGCUAGCUUGUGUAAAGGUCGACGCUUCUUAUUUCUCCCGAGGCGGGGAGAAAGCGACAUAUUACUACUAUUCCUCAACCUCCGACUGUGAGAGAAACGAUUAAGAGUAAAGCACAAGCCAGUAAAAAAAACAAGUAACCCUCGCCGUGCAGACUGUUCUUUAAACUACAAAAAUCAGG
RNAcentral lists this long non-coding RNA (816 nucleotides) under Homo sapiens (human). Its description in RNAcentral is "HSALNT0295377". The record is from RNAcentral. Lineage: Eukaryota; Metazoa; Chordata; Mammalia; Primates; Hominidae.